Small nuclear RNA from Mobula hypostoma (lesser devil ray), 164 nucleotides. RefSeq annotates it as U1 spliceosomal RNA. Lineage: Eukaryota; Metazoa; Chordata; Chondrichthyes; Myliobatiformes; Myliobatidae. The transcript has a single exon. The record is from RefSeq and is a predicted model, not a curated record.
AUACUUACUUCGCAGGGAGCUGUCAAUGAUCAAGUGGGGCAAGGUUCAAGGACAAAGCUAUCCUAUUGUACUCCAGAUGUGCAGGCACCUGUAAUAUUCCCAAAUGCGGGACACUCAACUACAUAAUUUGUGGUAGUAGGGGACUCAGUUUGCACUUUCCCCUG